Molecule: ribosomal RNA, 428 nt
Filed under: uncultured bacterium
Lineage: Bacteria
Description: partial 16S ribosomal RNA
Rfam family: Bacterial small subunit ribosomal RNA
Source: RNAcentral
GUGGGGAAUAUUGGGCAAUGGGGGAAACCCUGACCCAGCAACGCCGCGUGAGGGAAGAAGGUUUUCGGAUUGUAAACCUCUGUCAACGGGGACGAAAGAAAUGACGGUACCCGAGGAGGAAGCCCCGGCUAACUCCGUGCCAGCAGCCGCGGUAAUACGGAGGGGGCUAGCGUUGUUCGGAAUUACUGGGCGUAAAGCGCGCGUAGGCGGACCAGAAAGUUGGAGGUGAAAUCCCAGGGCUCAACCUUGGAACUGCCUUCAAAACUCCUGGUCUGGAGUUCGAGAGAGGUGAGUGGAAUUCCGAGUGUAGAGGUGAAAUUCGUAGAUAUUCGGAGGAACACCAGUGGCGAAGGCGGCUCACUGGCUCGAUACUGACGCUGAGGUGCGAAAGCGUGGGGAGCAAACAGGAUUAGAAACCCCGGUAGUCC